UCAUUUAUCCCGGAUGUCUUAAUUCUACUUUUGUGCAACAGGCCCCAGGGCGACUGACAAUACAUUUGUGGUGACGGAAAGGCCAUUUGCAGCAAGACAAAUGUUGAACAUCAUCCGGAGAAGAAACCUCAAGUAUUUUAACUGCACGGGGUCUCAGAGAGGUAGUCCUAGAUGAAUUUCUAACAGGUGCAUCCUUCAGCCUGCGUUAUUUCAGAGCUGUAUCAUUUUAAUCUUUGAAUGAAAAAAAUGAUAAAGGGAAACAGGAUUCUACAAGGAUGACGGUAGUCCCCUAUUUGGAGGGAUGCAACUACACUUUUCUCUCACAAGAUGUCAGCAUCUCACCAGGUCUGUUGGCUCAAACCAGGGACCCUCUACACAAAUCGACAACAGUCACCCAUGAAGCAUCGGUACCUAUCGCUCCACAGAAGUCAUGGUCUUUGCAAAGCAAGGGAAACAACUACUCCAAGGUCUCAGCGAGUGACGCUAACUAGAAUUGCUUGACUGUUUGGUGUGGUUUUGCUUUGUAGUGUGACGUAGCCAGGCAUCACUACAGAUGUCUCUGUGUCUGAGUCUUGUCAUUAAAGGAGUGUGUCAUUCCCGCUGCUAGCCAUUCUCCCUCACAUCUGCAUAUCAAGGUCUGCUAUCUCUCUGUGUGUGUAACACAUACAUCCUGUAAAACAUGUUUUAAAGACCAACCGUGUGAGGGUGGUUGGGUCGGGUGGGUGGUCUGUGUUGUGGUGCUGGUGUGUGUGUGUGUUACCGUUGGUAAUUAGAUGUGUUCAUUUGAGUCUGAGGGGAAUAAGAAUUGGCUUUGAACUUGUUUGCUCUGUGAUCCACUGUGUGAUAGCAGGGGCUGUCUGUCUGGGUCCAAAACAACACAGUGGGGGUGGUGGAUAAACCGUGUUUGGAGAAUUGACUACUGUGGAGUAGUUUGGCCAUGUCUUUGCAGGGGUGCACUGCACCUUCGGAUGACUUUUAUGGAUUUCUGAUAAUGGCUUUCGGAGCAGCUUGUUAAUUUCCCUCUGCCAAAAAAAAGGAGAUGGAAAGUUGGAGAGAAAGAGAGGGACACACUGUUUCCUCUUAGACUGUUCCCAGUAGAGUGCUUUAUCUGAAGUGUCUCUAUGAAACAAAGUGAAUUACUGUAUCUAGACUGGCCAGAUAAGAGCCCUGCUUCAAGCUAAUGAGAUUUACAUCAAGGUCCUGAACAUUUUUAUUGACCAUGGCUUCUGGACUUGAUGCUGAGGUGGAUAUAGAUGAAUGGGUUUCCCCCUGUGUGCUUGUUUGAAGGUUUCCUCCCUUCUCUCUACACCAUCCUGUGCGUGUCUGUGUGCCUUUCCAUGAUUGGGUGAGUGACUGUGCAAUAUAAAGUGUUGACGUGUGCGGCAAAGGAACACACACCCCCAUUACACACAACAGCACAGGGCCAUUGAGUGGUUACACGGCACUGUGUCACGCGUAAAUGUGUUUAUUAGUCUACACAAAACCAACUAGAUUAUUUAGUGCUGCAAGUUGUUACAUCAUUGGUAGCAUAACUGCUGCCUGCCAUAUUGGCCUUGGUUAGGAGACAGAUAUGGUACAUGACAGUAGCAGGGAGCCACAGGGGACAGUCUUCCCAUUGAAAAUACGUUUUAUUACUGUGAAGUUGUGAGCAACUGUGUUGGUGAAGAAAUAUAAUGUCUUCGUAAUUGAAAAAAUAUUUCAAACUGAGCUGGCUUCUGCUAUUUUAUGCUGCUGCCUUUGGGUAAUUUUCAGCUUUUGUAUCUCUUAAUUUUAAAAACUAGGAGGUACAUUUGAAGUAGAGGUGAAGGUUCCAGAAUAUCUACUCCUGUCAGAGUCCAAUUAGUCUCUGAGACUGUGUCACUCUGUUGCUAAGAAGUGUCAGCUGCAUAGCGGCAGCAGAUUCUGAGCCGUAGGGCCUUGGGAUGCUCUCACACACACACACACACACACACACACACACACACACAGCUGUGUCCCCGCCUCUCUCACCUAAACAUCAGGGACAGGGAGUGAUCUCUUUCCCCAGUCUAACCUGAGGGCGUGCCCUGGGCAGCGUCAAUCUGUUUCCUGUCACCCUGCAUCUGCCGUUACACAACUCCCAACAAGUCUUCAAGACUUUGAAACAGACUUUAAUAAUCUGAGUGUGUGAGUUUCAACAUCAGCAUCGUAUACUGUGUAGAAAACUUUAGGAACACCUACUCUUUCCAUGACAUAAACUGCCCAGGUGAAUCCAGCUGAAAGCUAUGAUCCCUUAUUGAGGUCACUUGUUAAAUCCACUUCAAUCAGUGUAGAUGAAGGGGAGGAGACAGGUUAAAGAAGGGUUUUUAAACCUUGAGACAGUUGAGACAUGGAUGUGUGUGCCAUUCAGAGGGUGAACGAGCAAGAAAAAAUAUUGAAGUGCAUUAAACGGGGUAUGGUCUUAGGAUCCCGGCGCACCGGUUUGUCAAGAACUGCAACGCGGCUGGGUAUUUUCAUGCUCAACAGUUUCCCGACCAUCAAGAAUGGUCUACCAUCCCAAAGGACAUCCAGCCAACUUGACACAACUGUGGGAAGCAUUGGAAUUAACAUGGGCCAGCAUCCCUGUGGAACGCUUUCAACACAUUGUAGAGUCCUUGCCCUGACGAAGUGAGGCUGUUCCGAGGGCGAACAGUGUUCCUAAUAUUUUGUACACUCAGUGUAUUUGCUUGGUUAUGAGAAGGACCUUGAUGUUGGCUUCUGAAUUGCUGAGGGCUAGCAGGGCUUUUUCUUACUCAGGACUUUGUUCAUGUAUUUUUCAAACGGUGACCUCGGCAACAUUCAGAAUAUGUAUCAGCAUUUUAUUUAUGCAGUAUGUUUUGGAGUUGGUCUUUCUUGAAAAUAACUAUAGAUACUGUGAAAAAGAAGCCACUUGUUGGUCAAUAAAAUGUGUUGUUUUUAUGGUACCUGUGUAUAGAGCCAGAUUACCAGA
This is a long non-coding RNA of Oncorhynchus kisutch (coho salmon), 2947 nucleotides long. RefSeq lists it as uncharacterized. The record is from RefSeq and is a predicted model, not a curated record. NCBI's taxonomy places the organism in Eukaryota, Metazoa, Chordata, Actinopteri, Salmoniformes, Salmonidae. The transcript has 2 exons.